UCGCACCUACCGAUUGAAUGGUCCGGUGAAGCCUCGGGAUUGUGACUAGUUCCCUUCAUUGGGGAUUGGUCGCGAGAACUUGUCUACCUUAUCAUUUAGAGGAAGGUG
This 108-nucleotide ribosomal RNA is filed under the name uncultured eukaryote. RNAcentral describes it as "partial small subunit ribosomal RNA". The record is from RNAcentral.